RNAcentral lists this ribosomal RNA (440 nucleotides) under uncultured bacterium. RNAcentral describes it as "partial 16S ribosomal RNA". It matches the Rfam family "Bacterial small subunit ribosomal RNA", at positions 338 to 795 of the family's 1533-position model. The record is from RNAcentral.
CCUACGGGAGGCAGCAGUGGGGGAUAUUGCACAAUGGGGGGAACCCUGAUGCAGCGACGCCGCGUGGGUGAAGAAGCGCCUCGGCGCGUAAAGCCCUAUCAGCAGGGAAGAAAAUGACGGUACCUGAAGAAGAAGCCCCGGCUAACUACGUGCCAGCAGCCGCGGUAAUACGUAGGGGGCAAGCGUUAUCCGGAUUUACUGGGUGUAAAGGGGGCGCAGACGGCGAUGCAAGCGAGGAGUGAAAGCCCGGGGCGCAACCCCGGGACUGCUCUUGGAACUGCGUGGCUGGAGUGCAGGAGGGGCAGGCGGAAUUCCGGGUGUAGCGGUGAAAUGCGUAGAUAUCAGGAGGAACACCGGGGGCGAAGGCGGACUGCUGGACUGCAACUGACGUUGAGGCCCGAAAGCGUGGGGAGCAAACAGGAUUAGAUACCCCAGUAGUC